RNAcentral lists this ribosomal RNA (108 nucleotides) under Rhodospirillaceae bacterium. Lineage: Bacteria; Pseudomonadati; Pseudomonadota; Alphaproteobacteria; Rhodospirillales; Rhodospirillaceae. The record is from RNAcentral.
GUAAUUAUUGCUAAAGUGUUAUACCCGAUCCCAUUCCGAACUCGGAAGUCAAGCCUUUAUGCGCCGAUGGUACUUGUCUUAAGGCAUGGAAGAGUAGGACGUUGCCGG